GCGGAGAUCCGCGAGCCGAACAAGCGGUCGCGGAUCUGGCUCGGCUCCUACUCCACCGCCGUCGCCGCCGCGCGGGCCUACGACACCGCCGUGUUCUACCUCCGCGGCCGCUCCGCGCGCCUCAACUUCCCCGACCAGCUCGACGGCGCGGGUGGUGGUGGCGCGGGCGCCGGCGGCGCCGAGGACCACAGGGAGCUCACCGCCGCCGUCAUCCGCAAGAAGGCCGCCGAGGUCGGCGCCCGCGUCGACGCGCAGCACUCCGUCGUCGGCGCCGCGGCGCCCGUGCCGCUCCAGCCGCCGCAGCCCCCGCCGCCCCAGCGCCGCCGGACCAAGAACCCCGACCUCAACCGGGAGCCCACCCCGGACACCUCCGACGACGAGUAGUAAUCCGUGCUAAUUUUGCCUCCCUUCUUCCAUCCAUCUAGUUCGUAGUCCUUAGCCACCCCAAGACACAGAGAGAGAGAGAGA
RNAcentral lists this long non-coding RNA (468 nucleotides) under Oryza sativa (Asian cultivated rice). Its description in RNAcentral is "long non-coding RNA (OSAT_LNC001089)". Lineage: Eukaryota; Viridiplantae; Streptophyta; Magnoliopsida; Poales; Poaceae. The record is from RNAcentral.